GGGCCCGUAGUUCAACGGUCAGAACAGCCGGCUCAUAACCGGUCAGUUCCAGGUUCGAAUCCUGGCGGGCCUA
RNAcentral lists this transfer RNA (73 nucleotides) under Deltaproteobacteria bacterium. Its description in RNAcentral is "tRNA-Met". It matches the Rfam family "tRNA". Rfam says of the family: Transfer RNA (tRNA) molecules are approximately 80 nucleotides in length. Their secondary structure includes four short double-helical elements and three loops (D, anti-codon, and T loops). Further hydrogen bonds mediate the characteristic L-shaped molecular structure. tRNAs have two regions of fundamental functional importance: the anti-codon, which is responsible for specific mRNA codon recognition, and the 3' end, to which the tRNAs corresponding amino acid is attached (by aminoacyl-tRNA synthetases). tRNAs cope with the degeneracy of the genetic code in two manners: having more than one tRNA (with a specific anti-codon) for a particular amino acid; and 'wobble' base-pairing, i.e. permitting non-standard base-pairing at the 3rd anti-codon position. The record is from RNAcentral. Lineage: Bacteria; Pseudomonadati; Myxococcota; Myxococcia.